GAUAAAUUACCAUUUAUAAAUUACAAUAUCGGAAUGAAUUUUGGUAAACCCAAGGAAGAAAACAAAUUUGCACCAUAUUUAAGUAAUAAAAUAUUCAGUGACGAUGACUUUUUAUUUGAUCUAGCAAGAAAGUAUGGAGAAUCAAAACUAU
This is a long non-coding RNA of Melanaphis sacchari, 151 nucleotides long. RefSeq lists it as uncharacterized. The record is from RefSeq and is a predicted model, not a curated record. NCBI's taxonomy places the organism in Eukaryota, Metazoa, Arthropoda, Insecta, Hemiptera, Aphididae. The transcript is spliced from 3 exons.